AGGACGAACGCUGGCGGCGUGCUUAACACAUGCAAGUCGAGCGGAAAGGCCCUUCGGGGUACUCGAGCGGCGAACGGGUGAGUAACACGUGAGUAAUCUGCCCCUAGCUCUGGGAUAGCUCCGGGAAACCGGGAUUAAUACCAGAUACGACCACUUUAGACAUCUGUUGUGGUGGAAAGAAUUUUGGCUAGGGAUGAGCUCGCGGCCUAUCAGCUUGUUGGUGAGGUAACGGCUCACCAAGGCGACGACGGGUAGCCGG
This 259-nucleotide ribosomal RNA is filed under the name uncultured bacterium. RNAcentral describes it as "partial small subunit ribosomal RNA". It matches the Rfam family "Bacterial small subunit ribosomal RNA", at positions 26 to 290 of the family's 1533-position model. The record is from RNAcentral.